AGUGAACGUUGGCGGCGUGGAUUAGGCAUGCAAGUCGAGCGAGAACCGUAGCAAUACGGGGACAGCGGCGAAAGGGACAGUAAUGUGUAGGUACCUACCUCCGGGUUCGGGAUAGCUGCGGGAAACUGCAGGUAAUACCGAAUAACGUCUCCGGACCAAAGGUGUGAUUCCACCUGGAGAGGGGCCUGCAUCCUAUUAGCUUGUUGGCGGGGUAACGGCCCACCAAGGCGACGAUGGGUAGCGGGUGUGAGAGCACGACCCGCGUCAUUGGGGCGGAGACACUGCCCAGACACCUGCGGGUGGCUGCAGUCGUGAAUCUUCGGCAAUGGGCGCAAGCCUGACCGAGCGACGCCGCGUGCGGGAUGAAGGCCUUCGGGUUGUAAACCGCUGUCGUAGAGGAGGAAAUGCAGGGGGGUUCUCCCCUCUGUUUGACCUAUUCUAGGAGGAAGUACGGGCUAAGUUCGUGCCAGCAGCAGCCGCCG
RNAcentral lists this ribosomal RNA (482 nucleotides) under uncultured bacterium. RNAcentral's name for it is "partial 16S ribosomal RNA". It matches the Rfam family "Bacterial small subunit ribosomal RNA", at positions 28 to 523 of the family's 1533-position model. The record is from RNAcentral.